RNAcentral lists this ribosomal RNA (608 nucleotides) under uncultured bacterium. RNAcentral describes it as "bacterial SSU rRNA". It matches the Rfam family "Bacterial small subunit ribosomal RNA", at positions 338 to 936 of the family's 1533-position model. The record is from RNAcentral.
CCUACGGGAGGCAGCAGUGGGGAAUAUUGCGCAAUGGGCGAAAGCCUGACGCAGCAACGCCGCGUGGGGGAUGAAGGUUUUCGGAUUGUAAACCCCUUUCGAUCGGAACGAAUCUCCUUCUGGUAAAUAAUCAGGAGGAUUGACGGUACCGGGAGAAGAAGCCACGGCUAACUCUGUGCCAGCAGCCGCGGUAAGACAGAGGUGGCAAGCGUUGUUCGGAUUUAUUGGGCGUAAAGCGAACGCAGGCGGUUUGGUAAGUCAGGGGUGAAAGACCACAGCUUAACUGUGGUAUUGCCUUUGAUACUGCCUUUCUUGAGUGGAGUAGGGGGAAGCGGAAUUCCGAGUGUAGAGGUGAAAUUCGUAGAUAUUCGGAGGAACACCGGUGGCGAAGGCGGCUUCCUGGACUCUAACUGACGCUCAUGUUCGAAAGCGUGGGUAGCAAACAGGAUUAGAUACCCUGGUAGUCCACGCCCUAAACGAUGGGCACUAGGUGUGGGAGGUAUCGACCCCUUCCGUGCCGCAGCUAACGCAUUAAGUGCCCCGCCUGGGGAGUACGGCCGCAAGGUUGAAACUCAAAGGAAUUGACGGGGAAGGGCGAAUUCCACACU